Molecule: ribosomal RNA, 502 nt
Filed under: uncultured bacterium
Lineage: Bacteria
Description: partial 16S ribosomal RNA
Rfam family: Bacterial small subunit ribosomal RNA
Source: RNAcentral
AUUGAACGCUGGCGGAAUGCUUUACACAUGCAAGUCGAACGGCAGCACGGGUGCUUGCACCUGGUGGCGAGUGGCGAACGGGUGAGUAGUACAUCGGAACGUACCCAGUUGUGGGGGAUAACUAACCGAAAGGUUAGCUAAUACCGCAUACGACCUGAGGGUGAAAGCGGGGGACCGUAAGGCCUCGCGCAAUUGGAGCGGCCGAUGUCUGAUUAGCUAGUUGGUAGGGUAAAGGCCUACCAAGGCGACGAUCAGUAGCUGGUCUGAGAGGAUGAUCAGCCACACUGGAACUGAGACACGGUCCAGACUCCUACGGGAGGCAGCAGUGGGGAAGUUUGGACAAUGGGCGAAAGCCUGAUCCAGCCAUUCCGCGUGAGUGAAGAAGGCCUUCGGGUUGUAAAGCUCUUUCGGCAGGGAAGAAACGGCCUAGGUUAAUACCUUGGGCUAAUGACGGUACCUGAAGAAGAAGCACCGGCUAACUACGUGCCAGCAGCCGCCGCGG